RNAcentral lists this ribosomal RNA (468 nucleotides) under uncultured bacterium. RNAcentral describes it as "partial 16S ribosomal RNA". It matches the Rfam family "Bacterial small subunit ribosomal RNA", at positions 28 to 507 of the family's 1533-position model. The record is from RNAcentral.
GACGAACGCUGGCGGCGUGCUUAACACAUGCAAGUCGAACGGAAAGGCCCUGCUUUUGUGGGGUGCUCGAGUGGCGAACGGGUGAGUAACACGUGAGUAACCUGUCCUUGACUUUGGGAUAACUUCAGGAAACUGGGGCUAAUACCGGAUAGGAGCUCCUGCUGCAUGGUGGGGGUUGGAAAGUUUCGGCGGUUGGGGAUGGACUCGCGGCUUAUCAGCUUGUUGGUGGGGUAGUGGCUUACCAAGGCUUUGACGGGUAGCCGGCCUGAGAGGGUGACCGGCCACAUUGGGACUGAGAUACGGCCCAGACUACUACGGGAGGCAGCGGUGGAGAAUAUUGCACAAUGGGAGGAAGCAUGAUGCAGCCACGCAGCGUGCGGGAUGACGGCCUUCGGGUUGUAUACCACUUUCGCCUGUGACGAAGCGUGAGUGACGGUAAUGGGUAAAGAAGCACCGGCUAACUACGUG